This 1509-nucleotide long non-coding RNA is filed under the name Sus scrofa (pig). Its description in RNAcentral is "lncRNA (ENSSSCG00055009969.1)". Lineage: Eukaryota; Metazoa; Chordata; Mammalia; Artiodactyla; Suidae. The record is from RNAcentral.
CAUGUCUAUGACCUAUGCCAUGACUCACGGCAACACCCCAUCCUUAACCCACAGAGCGAGGCCAGGGAUCAAACCUGCAACCUCAUGGUUCCUAGUCAGAUUCGUUUCCACUGUGCCACAAUGGAAACUCCCAACCAUAAAAUUUAAAUAAACAAAUUAAUUUAAAGUCUUCCUGUACUGUGAAAAUGAUGGGUGUCAGUAACCUAUAUUCUCUAAGCUUAGAAACAUCAGAAGAAAGACAAUUUAAAAAAAAAGAAAAAAGAUAGAGCCAAAUAUCCAACUGCCAAGAACUGUCAAGUAAAAAGGCAAACAUUGUACGUAGUAUGCUAUUGUUCGAGGUUUUUUAAAAGAGCAAAGAGCUAUCUAUGUACAUGUCAUCUUGCAUCCGCAGACUGACUUUGGCAGAAACUAUGACAAUGCUGCCUCUGGAGAGGGGGCUGGGAGGCUGGGGACAGGAAUGAGAGCGCGAGGUGUUUUAAAUCACUGCAUAUCCCCUUUUUACCUUUUGAAUUUUACAUAAUGUACAUGUUUUGCCUGUUUUAUAUUUGUAAAAUUAGAUUGACUAACUUGGGGGGAGGGGAAAGCAAUACAACAUUUAAAAACUAUGGAAACAUACCCCUUUCAGUGUGAAGCCACCACAGGUUUCUGAGCUGAUCUGUGACUUGGCUCUUUCCAAAAGCUGGGGUUGUGGCUUGUUCUCAUUGGAUGCUGAUUGGGGGUGGGGGCACAUUGGGAGUCAAUUUUGAGAGCUCUUCAAAGGAGAAAACCCACAAGAGUUAUUGGAGAAAUGAGACAAACUUUAAGUGAAAUCUUUGGAGUGGGGUGGAAGACGUGGCUAAGGAGUACAGCUGUGGGGGCUGGUUGUUUUCAGGAGGAAAAGCCUCGGACAAGUGAAAUGGCAGAGACUGGCUAUUGUGCCUUUGGAGGGGAUUACUUUGAAUGGUCUGGAAAAGCUGAGAGGACACCAGGUCUGAUCCCUGUCCCCAGCCUACACUGUGAUGUCAUGGUUGGUAUAUUCUUAGUUAUCUCUUUCUUCCCUGGGACUCAUAGCCUACUUUUGCUCCCUUUUAAGUUAAAAACUAAACCUUAAUUAUACAGAGAGAAUCACUAGAUGGGACAUGAUUCGCCAAGAAAGUGGUGGGGGGGAGGGAGGGUGAUAACAACACAUUGACCAUCGAUAAAUCAGCUCCCAGGCUGUCCUGUCCUGUGACCUAUGUAAUGGGUAUUCUCUAGACCCUCAGCUAGGCAGAAAGCUCUUCAAGACUUGGGAUUUUUUCUUUCUUCCCUGCCCAGUCCCUGUCCCACUUCUCUCACACUUGGUACUAUUAAGCUCUUAAUAAUAACAAUGACAAACACUGGGCACCUGCUCUGUGCAGUCCAGGUGUUGAAGUUUCAUUCUGGUCGACACAGGCUGGGCCCCUGAAGACCUCUGUCUUCUCAGCUCCAACACUUCCCUCUCUGGGAUCCGACCACACCAGCCUUUUUUCCGUUUCUUGAACCCACUGAACC